This is a long non-coding RNA of Dromaius novaehollandiae (emu), 1196 nucleotides long. RefSeq lists it as uncharacterized. Lineage: Eukaryota; Metazoa; Chordata; Aves; Casuariiformes; Dromaiidae. The record is from RefSeq and is a predicted model, not a curated record. The transcript has 2 exons.
CAGGAACAUUGUGUGGAUUUCUGACACUCCCUGAAGGACAUUAGGACCAUAAACCAGUGAAUGGAUUACAAUGAGGCAUAAAUAGAGCAUUUCUAUCCAUGACAGAUGCAAUCCAGCUCUAGCACUGCUUAUGUUAUUUAAAGGAAAACUAUAUCUAUUUCCCUCAGACCAGCUUUCUGAAUUUCAAGUGAUAAAAUAAGUCAUAAAUGUUUUUCCACAUGAAUAAACUGGGAGCUUCAUUUGGAAAUGAUUUGUCAGCAUUGUUUUAGAGGGAGCCUGGCUGUUACGUCUCACAGAAUACACUUCCACACGAAUACGAGACCACAGAACUAAUUCCAAUCAUAAUAUUAGAAGAACUGCAGGAUUUUGCAUAGCUUGUCAUCCCAAGCAGAGAAAGUCCUACUUUGCUGCUCUGGCUUGCCAUUCGAAGCAUGCAGUGCUGCAAGCCAGCUAGGCUGUAACAGACUUAUAAGGAAUAAUGUCCUAAAGCCAAGAAGCAGGUGUGAGACAAGUUUCUCACUUGUGCAGACAUAUGCUACAAAAUGCUGCAACCUUUCCUGCAUAAUAUCUUAAUGUAUAGUCAUUAGGCAGGACAGAGUGGAGGGCACACAUAUGGAAAAUGCCUCUUAUUCGGAGACCGGAGCGUGUACUUUCUGUUUGAUGCUGGCACGUGCAAGGAGAGACUAACAUGCAGGCUCCAAACUGCUGAUUGCAAUCUGAGAAAGAAACAAUCGUGAAGACAGCAGGAAUUUUACCACGUUUUAGACUAGUAAAAUUUCUCUGGGAAUUAUUUGCAGAAGUGGCACACCUGGAAUCUGAAUUACUGUAUCUGGAUUGCAGUGCACUGGCAGGACAUAUUCUGUACAGCCAAGACAAGCUGCAAAAUUCCUCUGCUUCUCCCAUGACCUGUCAUCACCUACCUUCUAGCCAAGACAUGGUUUGGAAGAAUCAGUGGGUAAAGAGCAUGUGGAGUAAAUUAUAUUUGGAAAGUGAAGAAAUCUGAAAUAGUGUUGCACCCUUUGCUGUCUUUGGUGCAGGGACCUUCCUGCCGUUCUCAGCUGGCAGCUGGUGGAUUGGUGACAAUGACCUGGACCUUUUAUUGAUAUUACCCCAUUUAACAUCAUGUGAUGAUUUUACCAUGCAUGAUAUGAAAUCAGGUUUUGCAGACGGAAUAAAAAUCCAUCCUUCAAAAGGAA